RNAcentral lists this ribosomal RNA (182 nucleotides) under Staphylococcus aureus. Its description in RNAcentral is "partial 16S ribosomal RNA". It matches the Rfam family "Bacterial small subunit ribosomal RNA", at positions 1 to 177 of the family's 1533-position model. Lineage: Bacteria; Bacillati; Bacillota; Bacilli; Caryophanales; Staphylococcaceae. RNAcentral also lists the same sequence under 1 other name. The record is from RNAcentral.
UUUAUGGAGAGUUUGAUCCUGGCUCAGGAUGAACGCUGGCGGCGUGCCUAAUACAUGCAAGUCGAGCGAACGGACGAGAAGCUUGCUUCUCUGAUGUUAGCGGCGGACGGGUGAGUAACACGUGGAUAACCUACCUAUAAGACUGGGAUAACUUCGGGAAACCGGAGCUAAUACCGGAUAAU